This 325-nucleotide long non-coding RNA is filed under the name Gallus gallus (chicken). Lineage: Eukaryota; Metazoa; Chordata; Aves; Galliformes; Phasianidae. The record is from RNAcentral.
CUCGCUCUUGUUAAGCGACUCGAGGAGAACUGGAAGGAGAAAAGGGGAAGUAAAACGAGAUCGCAGAACACCCCGAGUUGGAAGAGACCCAUAAGGACCACGGAGUCCAACCCUCAGCUCCACACGGGAGCGCCCAGAACUCAGACCCUACAUCGGAGCGCGUAGUCCAGUUGCUCCUUGAACUCCAGCAGCAGCUCCGUGCAGUGCCCACCGCCCUCUGGCGGAGCACCUUUUCGCAGUACCCAGGCCAAGAUCUCUCGGUAACAGCGGAACGCUUCCAGGCUCGCUCUCCUUUCCCGAGGCGGGAUCGGACAGUUCGGCCUCC